RNAcentral lists this non-coding RNA (214 nucleotides) under Mollicutes bacterium. RNAcentral describes it as "T-box sequence". It matches the Rfam family "T-box leader". From Rfam's summary of the family: Uncharged tRNA acts as the effector for transcription antitermination of genes in the T-box leader family. T-boxes are found upstream of many aminoacyl-tRNA synthetase genes and some amino acid biosynthetic genes usually in Gram-positive bacteria. The record is from RNAcentral. Lineage: Bacteria; Bacillati; Mycoplasmatota; Mollicutes.
AUAAAAUCAAUGAUUGAGACAAGUGUUAAAUAACCUCUUUAUUUUAGAGACCAAGUGUAUGCUGAAAACUUGGAUAAAUGUUAUUAAAUGUAUCCCUCAUGAGAUUAAGUUCUGAAGGUAGUAAGAACUUACGUAAUCCUGCGUUAAAGGUUUGAGUGCUGAAGAGAUUCAGAACAAAGGUGGUACCACGGAUUAAAUAUAGUUCGUCCUUAUU